GCAGAGGUCGCCUAACCCGGUUUGGCGCGGGCCUGCAAAGCCCGUUUAUGUGGGUUCAAAUCCCACCCUCUGCU
RNAcentral lists this transfer RNA (74 nucleotides) under archaeon. Its description in RNAcentral is "tRNA-Cys". It matches the Rfam family "tRNA". From Rfam's summary of the family: Transfer RNA (tRNA) molecules are approximately 80 nucleotides in length. Their secondary structure includes four short double-helical elements and three loops (D, anti-codon, and T loops). RNAcentral also lists the same sequence under 1 other name. The record is from RNAcentral.